GAACUCCAAUGGCGUUUGUGUCAGCACGCCCACACCGGGCCACAACAAUGGCUGCCGCCAAUGUCCCAGUCCCUGGAGAGGUCUCACCCCUCACCGAGAUGUACUCAGGGCCUAUUAGGAUGUGAACUUCAUGUCUAAGACUUAGCUACUGUGAAGGAAAAUUCUAUUCUCCAUUUUCUGUUUGAGUGUCCCACUGGCUUCACUUUGUAUCUCAGGUCAGUACUGUGAUACAGGCUCUUACUUCAAGUUUCCAAAGAGUUUGUAGCGAAGAUAAACAAAACUGAACAAAAGAAACCAGUGGAGCUCCACUCAGACAAGUCAGAAUUCUGAAGAAGCAAAACAGUCUGGACAAGGCUAGAAAGCUGGAGAACCUCUGCAGGUUUGUCGGAUUCCUCAACAUUUCUAGGUCCCUCUGGCACUUCCACGUGAUUUUGGGGGCUGUUAUGAAUUUAAUGUCUUUCUAGUGCUACUGUCCUAAUAAUUGGAUGUCCUGAGGGCCGAGAUGAGGAUGAACCAAGAGAAAUGCCCAGGGUGCAACAUUUAAGGAGGCACUCAUUAUCAGAGUGCAAGUGCCAACUCUGAAUGCCUCCUAGCCUGGGCCCUCCUGAUUUUUCCCAAUGAGGUGACAAAGAAAACCCUUAAUAAUUUGUCAGGAUUUUGGUGGUGUUGAGAACCAGUAAUGUAUGAAGAAACCCUAUGACUGGAGUCCUACGAUUGAUUCCACCACCAACUGGCUCAAGUAUCCACAUCUAUAGAAGAAGAGGGUGUUGGACUAGAUCAUCUCUAAAAUUCUAUCAUGGAAGGUUUCUAUAACAAAAGGUUACCCACAGCUGGGCUGACUGGGAGAUUUUACCUCUGGAUCUGCGAGUACAAAUACUUCCGUCAAUAUUCUGUUUCCCAAAGGUAUGCUAAUUCUCGUGAAUAGUCACAACUAUGGUGGCAAAGUUUUAGAGAUUACAACUGGAUCAUUUCUCUGCAAUUGCUGUAAA
Molecule: long non-coding RNA, 989 nt
Organism: Diceros bicornis minor
Lineage: Eukaryota; Metazoa; Chordata; Mammalia; Perissodactyla; Rhinocerotidae
Exons: 7
Source: RefSeq, a predicted model, not a curated record